AUUGAACGCUGGCGGCAUGCUUUACACAUGCAAGUCGAACGGCAGCGCGGGCUUCGGCCUGGCGGCGAGUGGCGAACGGGUGAGUAAUGCAUCGGAACGUGCCCAGUAGUGGGGGAUAGCCCGGCGAAAGCCGGAUUAAUACCGCAUACGACCUGAGGGUGAAAGCGGGGGACCGAAAGGCCUCGCGCUAUUGGAGCGGCCGAUGUCGGAUUAGCUAGUUGGUGGGGUAAAGGCUUACCAAGGCGACGAUCCGUAGCUGGUCUGAGAGGACGACCAGCCACACUGGGACUGAGACACGGCCCAGACUCCUACGGGAGGCAGCAGUGGGGAAUUUUGGACAAUGGGGGCAACCCUGAUCCGGCCAUGCCGCGUGCGUGAAGAAGGCCUUCGGGUUGUAAACCGCUUUUGUUCGGGAAGAAAUCCUCUGGGCUAAUACCCCGGGGGGAUGACGGUACCGGAAGAAUAAGCACCGGCUAACUACGUG
This 484-nucleotide ribosomal RNA is filed under the name uncultured bacterium. RNAcentral's name for it is "partial 16S ribosomal RNA". It matches the Rfam family "Bacterial small subunit ribosomal RNA", at positions 28 to 507 of the family's 1533-position model. The record is from RNAcentral.